Plutella xylostella (diamondback moth) is the source of this 223-nucleotide non-coding RNA. The record is from RefSeq and is a predicted model, not a curated record. NCBI's taxonomy places the organism in Eukaryota, Metazoa, Arthropoda, Insecta, Lepidoptera, Plutellidae.
UUGUUAGUCGUAUACCUCGAAAUCAAAAAAUCCUUAUAGCUUUUCACCUAUUCGCAUUUCGCUGUGAUGUCAAAAUUUCUGAAUAGAUUUUUAUUCUUGUAGUAUAAUUUUUGAUCGCUACUCACAAUUGUCUGAAAAAUUCAUCGUAGAUUUACUUUCCUGCCUGUCUUCACUGUAGUCGCUUUUCACCUUGAUAGAUAUUUGUUUAUAUAAUAAUAAUAUA